RNAcentral lists this ribosomal RNA (745 nucleotides) under uncultured bacterium. Its description in RNAcentral is "bacterial SSU rRNA". It matches the Rfam family "Bacterial small subunit ribosomal RNA", at positions 8 to 796 of the family's 1533-position model. The record is from RNAcentral.
AGAGUUUGAUCCUGGCUCAGGAUGAACGCUGGCGGUCUGCUUAACACAUGCAAGUCGAACGGAACUUUUCGGAGUUCAGUGGCGGACGGGUGAGUAACGCGUGAGAAUCUGCCUUCUGGUCGGGGACAACCCACUGGAAACGGUGGCUAAUACCGGAUGAGCCUACGGGUAAAAGAUUUAUUGCCAGAAGAGGAGCUCGCGUCUGAUUAGCUAGUUGGUGAGGUAAAGGCUCACCAAGGCAUCGAUCAGUAGCUGGUCUGAGAGGAUGACCAGCCACACUGGGACUGAGACACGGCCCAGACUCCUACGGGAGGCAGCAGUGGGGAAUUUUCCGCAAUGGGCGAAAGCUGACGGAGCAAGACCGCGUGAGGGAGGAAGGCUCUUGGGUUGUAAACCUCUUUUCUUGGGGAAGAAAAAAAUGACGGUACCCAAGGAGUCAGCAUCGGCUAACUCCGUGCCAGCAGCCGCGGUAAUACGGAGGAUGCAAGCGUUAUCCGGAAUUAUUGGGCGUAAAGCGUCCGCAGGUGGCACUUCAAGUCUGCUGUCAAAGGUCGGGGCUUAACCCCGGGAAGGCAGUGGAAACUGAAGCGCUAGAGUGUCGUAGGGGUAGAGGGAAUUCCCGGUGUAGCGGUGAAAUGCGUAGAGAUCGGGAAGAACAUCGGUGCGAAAGCGCUCUACUGGACGACAACUGACACUCAGGGACGAAAGCUAGGGGAGCGAAUGGGAUUAGAUACCCUAGUAGUCC